RNAcentral lists this ribosomal RNA (465 nucleotides) under Vreelandella stevensii. RNAcentral's name for it is "partial 16S ribosomal RNA". It matches the Rfam family "Bacterial small subunit ribosomal RNA", at positions 338 to 795 of the family's 1533-position model. Lineage: Bacteria; Pseudomonadati; Pseudomonadota; Gammaproteobacteria; Oceanospirillales; Halomonadaceae. The record is from RNAcentral.
CCUACGGGGGGCAGCAGUGGGGAAUAUUGGACAAUGGGGGGAACCCUGAUCCAGCCAUGCCGCGUGUGUGAAGAAGGCCCUCGGGUUGUAAAGCACUUUCAGUGAGGAAGAACGCCUGGUGGUUAAUACCCAUCAGGAAAGACAUCACUCACAGAAGAAGCACCGGCUAACUCCGUGCCAGCAGCCGCGGUAAUACGGAGGGUGCGAGCGUUAAUCGGAAUUACUGGGCGUAAAGCGCGCGUAGGUGGCUUGAUAAGCCGGUUGUGAAAGCCCCGGGCUCAAACUGGGAACGGCAUCCGGAACUGUCAAGCUAGAGUGCAGGAGAGGAAGGUAGAAUUCCCGGUGUAGCGGUGAAAUGCGUAGAGAUCGGGAGGAAUACCAGUGGCGAAGGCGGCCUUCUGGACUGACACUGACACUGAGGUGCGAAAGCGUGGGUAGCAAACAGGAUUAGAUACCCUGGUAGUC